Molecule: long non-coding RNA, 554 nt
Filed under: Ananas comosus (pineapple)
Lineage: Eukaryota; Viridiplantae; Streptophyta; Magnoliopsida; Poales; Bromeliaceae
Description: long non-coding RNA (ACOM_LNC011430)
Source: RNAcentral
UAUCUUAAAUUUUUUUAGGGUAAACUUUAAAUACCAUUCCUAUGAUUUCGUACUUUAUCACCUUUGUACUAUAUGAUUUAAAAUAUAUCAAGUUAGUGUCCAGUGGUUUUAUUUUUAUUUUUUCGUCAGCUUUUUCAUUAAUAUUUUAUUAAAUUAUAUACAAAAAAUUUCAGAUAUCCCACCUAAUUUAUCGAAUAUUCAUUUUAGUACCCUUUAAUUUUAGUUUUGUCACUGAUUUAAUAAAAAUAUUAGUAAAAUUGAUAAUAAAAAGAUAAAAAUAAAAUCCUAGCGCAAGGGGCAAAAGAGCUUGGUAGUUGGUACCCGAAAUUCAAGUUCGAAUCCUAAUUAAUUCACAUUUCUAGCUAAGUUUAUUUCUGAAAACAAAGUAGGUAAUAUGCUACCUUUCUCUCCAAAAAAAAAAAAAAAUCGUAUGGUACAAAAUUAAUACACUUUAAAUUAUAUGGUAUUAAAAUGAGAAACUGUGAAACUAUAGGGUGAUAUUUGAAGUUUUUUUUUUUUUUACUUAAAUUUUAUGUUAAAAUUUUAGUAUGUUG